This 1486-nucleotide ribosomal RNA is filed under the name Halomonas sp. Haw9. RNAcentral's name for it is "partial 16S ribosomal RNA". It matches the Rfam family "Bacterial small subunit ribosomal RNA". The record is from RNAcentral. Lineage: Bacteria; Pseudomonadati; Pseudomonadota; Gammaproteobacteria; Oceanospirillales; Halomonadaceae.
CCGAUGACGCGUCCACAGGCCAACACCCAGCAAGUGAGCCGGAAACCGAUCCCAGCUUGCUGGGAGGCGUCGAGCGCGGACCGGGUGAAGUAAUGCAUAGGAAUCUGCCCGGUAGUGGGGGAUAACUUGAGGAAACUCAAGCUAAUACCGCAUACGCCCUACGGGGGAAAGCAGGGGCUCUUCGGACCUUGCGCUAUCGGAUGAAGCUUAUGUCGGAUUAGCUAGUUGGUGAGGUAACCGGCUUACCAAGGGCGACGAUCCGUAGCUGGUCUGAGAGGAUGAUCAGCCACAUCGGGACUUGAAACACGGCCCCGAACUCUACCGGGAAGGCAGCACGUGGGGGAAUAUUUGGGACAAUGGGCGAAAAGCCCUGAAUCCAGCCAUGCCGCCGUUGUGUUAAAGAAAGGCCCUCGGGUUUGUAAAGCACUUUCCUGGUGAGGAAAAAAGCUUGGUUGGUUAAAACCCCGGAAGGAAAGGGACAUCCCUCCCCAGAAAGAAAGCCCCCGGGUAAAAUCCCGUGCCAGCCAAGCCGCGGGUAAUUACGGAAGGGGGGAAAGGCGGUUAAUUCGGAAUUACCUGGGCCGUAAAAGCGUGCGUAGGCGGCGUUGGUAAGCCGGUUGUAAAGCCCCGGGCUCAACCUGGAAAUGGCAUCCGGAACUGUCAGGCUAGAGUGCAGGAGAGGAAGGUAAAAUUCCCGGUGUAGCGGUAAAAUGCGUAGAGAUCGGAGGAAUACCAGUGGCGAAGGCGGCCGUUAUGGCCGACACUACGUGGAAUCGACCCUUGAUCAUCGGUCAGGCAUGCUUCNCAGGNCNUUAGACCUUUGUGGCGCAUGUUACGCACCUACGUCGACCGCCUGGGGAGUACGGCCGCAAGGUUAAAACUCAAAUUAUUUGACGGGGGCCCGCACAAGCGGUGGAGCAUGUGGUUUAAUUCGAUGCAACGCGAAGAACCUUCCUACCCUUGACAUCGUGCGAACUUGGUAGAGAUACCUUGGUGCCUUCGGGAGCGCACAGACAGGUGCUGCAUGGCUGUCGUCAGCUCGUGUUGUGAAAUGUUGGGUUAAGUCCCGUAACGAGCGCAACCCUUUAUCCUUAUUUGCAGCGAUACGGUCGGGAACUCUAAGGAGACUGCCGGUGACAAACCGGAGGAAGGUGGGGACGACGUCAAGUUAUCAUGGCCUUACGGGUAGGGCUACACACGUGCUACAAUGGCCGAUACAAUGGGUCGCAAAAGCGGCGACGUGGCGCUUAUCCAUAAAGGUCGGUCUCAGUCCGGAUCGGAAGUCUGCAACCUCGACUCCGUGAAAGUCGGAAUCGCUAGUAAUCGUGCAUCAAGAAUGCCCGGAGAAAACGUUCCGGGCCUUGUACACACCCGCCCCGUCAACCAUGGGAGUGGACUGCACCAAAAGUGGUAAGCCUAACUUGGAAGGGCGAAUACCACCGGGUGGUUUAUUGACUGGGGUGAAAUCCCAAAAAGAAAAACCCCU